GGGGCUGUAGCUCAGCUGGGAGAGCACCUGCCUUACAAGCAGGGGGUCGGCGGUUCGAUCCCGUCAUCCUCCACCA
This 76-nucleotide transfer RNA is filed under the name Ensifer meliloti. Its description in RNAcentral is "Sinorhizobium meliloti tRNA-Val". It matches the Rfam family "tRNA". Rfam says of the family: Transfer RNA (tRNA) molecules are approximately 80 nucleotides in length. Their secondary structure includes four short double-helical elements and three loops (D, anti-codon, and T loops). The record is from RNAcentral. Lineage: Bacteria; Pseudomonadati; Pseudomonadota; Alphaproteobacteria; Hyphomicrobiales; Rhizobiaceae.